Molecule: ribosomal RNA, 465 nt
Filed under: Vreelandella stevensii
Lineage: Bacteria; Pseudomonadati; Pseudomonadota; Gammaproteobacteria; Oceanospirillales; Halomonadaceae
Description: partial 16S ribosomal RNA
Rfam family: Bacterial small subunit ribosomal RNA
Source: RNAcentral
CCUACGGGUGGCUGCAGUGGGGAAUAUUGGACAAUGGGCGAAAGCCUGAUCCAGCCAUGCCGCGUGUGUGAAGAAGGCCUUCGGGUUGUAAAGCACUUUCAGUGGGGUAGAAAGCCUUGGGGCUAAUACCCUCGAGGAAGGACAUCACCCACAGAAGAAGCACCGGCUAACUCCGUGCCAGCAGCCGCGGUAAUACGGAGGGUGCGAGCGUUAAUCGGAAUUACUGGGCGUAAAGCGCGCGUAGGCGGUCUGAUAAGCCGGUUGUGAAAGCCCCGGGCUCAACCUGGGAACGGCAUCCGGAACUGUCAGGCUAGAGUGCAGGAGAGGAAGGUAGAAUUCCCGGUGUAGCGGUGAAAUGCGUAGAGAUCGGGAGGAAUACCAGUGGCGAAGGCGGCCUUCUGGACUGACACUGACGCUGAGGUGCGAAAGCGUGGGUAGCAAACAGGAUUAGAUACCCCAGUAGUC